Molecule: ribosomal RNA, 311 nt
Filed under: uncultured eukaryote
Lineage: Eukaryota
Description: partial 18S ribosomal RNA
Rfam family: Eukaryotic small subunit ribosomal RNA
Source: RNAcentral
CCCUUAGAUGUCCUGGGCCGCACGCGUGCUACACUGACGCAUACAACGAGCAUUUCCGGCCCCGAAAGGAGGCUGGUAAUCAGCAAUAUGCGUCGUGAUGGGGAUAGAUCUUUGGAAUUUUUGAUCUUGAACGAGGAAUGCCUAGUAAGCGUAAGUCAUCAGCUUGCGUUGAUUAAGUCCCUGCCCUUUGUACACACCGCCCGUCGCUCCUACCGAUUUCGAGUGGUCCGCUGAACCUUUCGGAUUGGGCCAAUCUAUGGCCUGAAAAGUCAAGUAAAGCACAUCACUUAGAGGAAGGAGAAGUCGUAACA